This 253-nucleotide ribosomal RNA is filed under the name uncultured bacterium. Its description in RNAcentral is "partial 16S ribosomal RNA". It matches the Rfam family "Bacterial small subunit ribosomal RNA", at positions 524 to 776 of the family's 1533-position model. The record is from RNAcentral.
UACGGGGGGGGCAAGCGUUGUUCGGAAUUACUGGGCGUAAAGGGCUCGUAGGCGGCCAACUAAGUCAGACGUGAAAUCCCUCGGCUUAACCGGGGAACUGCGUCUGAUACUGGAUGGCUUGAGAUUGGGAGAGGGAUGCGGAAUUCCAGGUGUAGCGGUGAAAUGCGUAGAUAUCUGGAGGAACACCGGUGGCGAAGGCGGCAUCCUGGACCAACACUGACGCUGAGGAGCAAAAGCCAGGGGAGCAAACGGG